RNAcentral lists this small nuclear RNA (348 nucleotides) under Erinaceus europaeus (western European hedgehog). RNAcentral's name for it is "7SK RNA". It matches the Rfam family "7SK RNA". Rfam says of the family: 7SK was discovered as an abundant small nuclear RNA in the mid-70s but a possible function has only recently been suggested. The record is from Rfam by way of RNAcentral. Lineage: Eukaryota; Metazoa; Chordata; Mammalia; Eulipotyphla; Erinaceidae.
GGAUGUGAGGGCUAUCUGGCUGCGACAUCUGUCACCCCAUUGAUCGCCAGGGUUGAUUCGGCUGAUCUGGCUGGCUAGGCGGGUGUCCCCUUCCUCCGUCACCGGUCCAUGUGCGUCCCUUCCAAAGUUGCGCGCUCAGUCGAAGAGGACGGCCUUCCCCGAAUAGAGACGGACCGGUCUUCAGUCGAGGGUAUACGAGUAGCUGUGCUCCCCUGCUAGAACCUCCAAACAAGGUCUCAAGAAUCUUGGCUCCACACACAUGCAGCAGAGCAAAGGAGACCAGAUAAGUAAAUCUGCCAUGACCUGCUUUUCUACUUAUGGAGAUGUUUCUAAAAUCCUCUACCCUUU